Molecule: ribosomal RNA, 346 nt
Filed under: Chaetospermum artocarpi
Lineage: Eukaryota; Fungi; Basidiomycota; Agaricomycetes; Sebacinales; Sebacinaceae
Description: SSU rRNA
Rfam family: Eukaryotic small subunit ribosomal RNA
Source: RNAcentral
AUAGCGUAUAUUAAAGUUGUUGCAGUUAAAAAGCUCGUAGUUGAACUUCAGAGCUGGUUGGGCGGUCCGCCUCACGGCGUGUACUGUCCGGCCGGUUCUUACCUCUUGGUGAGCCGGCAUGCCCUUCAUUGGGUGUGUCGGGGAACCAGGACUUUUACCUUGAGAAAAUUAGAGUGUUCAAAGCAGGCCUACGCCCGAAUACAUUAGCAUGGCAUAAUAAAAUAGGACGUGCGGUUCUAUUUUGUUGGUUUCUAGAGUCGCCGUAAUGAUUAAUAGGGAUGGUUGGGGGCAUUCGUAUUCCGUUGCUAGAGGUGAAAUUCUUGGAUUUACGGAAGACGAACUUCUG